RNAcentral lists this transfer RNA (73 nucleotides) under Felis catus (domestic cat). It matches the Rfam family "tRNA". Rfam says of the family: Transfer RNA (tRNA) molecules are approximately 80 nucleotides in length. Their secondary structure includes four short double-helical elements and three loops (D, anti-codon, and T loops). RNAcentral also lists the same sequence under 3 other names. The record is from Rfam by way of RNAcentral. Lineage: Eukaryota; Metazoa; Chordata; Mammalia; Carnivora; Felidae.
GCCUGACUGGCUCAGUCUUUGGAGCAUGUGACUCUUGAUCUUACAGUUGUGGGUUCAAGCCCCAUGGUGGGUG